GCGGCGAACGGGUGAGUAACACGUAAAGAACCUGCCUCAUAGACUGGGACAACUAUUGGAAACGAUAGCUAAUACCGGAUAACAGCAUUAACUGCAUGGUUGAUGUUUAAAAGUUGGUUUUGCUAACACUAUGAGAUGGCUUUGCGGUGCAUUAGCUAGUUGGUGGGGUAAAGGCCUACCAAGGCGACGAUGCAUAGCCGACCUGAGAGGGUGAUCGGCCACACUGGGACUGAGACACGGCCCAGACUCC
Molecule: ribosomal RNA, 250 nt
Filed under: uncultured Gemella sp.
Lineage: Bacteria; Bacillati; Bacillota; Bacilli; Caryophanales; Gemellaceae
Description: partial 16S ribosomal RNA
Rfam family: Bacterial small subunit ribosomal RNA
Source: RNAcentral